Molecule: ribosomal RNA, 659 nt
Filed under: uncultured Bacteroidales bacterium
Lineage: Bacteria; Pseudomonadati; Bacteroidota; Bacteroidia; Bacteroidales
Description: bacterial SSU rRNA
Rfam family: Bacterial small subunit ribosomal RNA
Source: RNAcentral
GCAUGGUCUUAGCUUGCUAAGGCUGAUGGCGACCGGCGCACGGGUGAGUAACACGUAUCCAACCUGCCGUCUACUCUUGGCCAGCCUUCUGAAAGGAAGAUUAAUCCAGGAUGGCAUCAUGAGUUCACAUGUCCGCAUGAUUAAAGGUAUUUUCCGGUAGACGAUGGGGAUGCGUUCCAUUAGAUAGUAGGCGGGGUAACGGCCCACCUAGUCAACGAUGGAUAGGGGUUCUGAGAGGAAGGUCCCCCACAUUGGAACUGAGACACGGUCCAAACUCCUACGGGAGGCAGCAGUGAGGAAUAUUGGUCAAUGGGCGAUGGCCUGAACCAGCCAAGUAGCGUGAAGGAUGACUGCCCUAUGGGUUGUAAACUUCUUUUAUAAAGGAAUAAAGUCGGGUAUGCAUACCCGUUUGCAUGUACUUUAUGAGUAAGGAUCGGCUAACUCCGUGCCAGCAGCCGCGGUAAUACGGAGGAUCCGAGCGUUAUCCGGAUUUAUUGGGUUUAAAGGGAGCGUAGAUGGAUGUUUAAGUCAGUUGUGAAAGUUUGCGGCUCAACCGUAAAAUUGCAGUUGAUACUGGAUGUCUUGAGUGCAGUUGAGGCAGGCGGAAUUCGUGGUGUAGCGGUGAAAUGCUUAGAUAUCACGAAGAACUCCGAUUGCGA